GCUCCAAUAGCUCAGUUAGUAGAGCAUAGGACUCUUAAUCCCAGGGUCAUGGGCUCGAGCCCAGUGUUGGGUG
Molecule: transfer RNA, 73 nt
Filed under: Ovis aries (sheep)
Lineage: Eukaryota; Metazoa; Chordata; Mammalia; Artiodactyla; Bovidae
Rfam family: tRNA
About the family: Transfer RNA (tRNA) molecules are approximately 80 nucleotides in length. Their secondary structure includes four short double-helical elements and three loops (D, anti-codon, and T loops).
Source: Rfam by way of RNAcentral